RNAcentral lists this long non-coding RNA (2282 nucleotides) under Homo sapiens (human). Its description in RNAcentral is "long intergenic non-protein coding RNA 1488". Lineage: Eukaryota; Metazoa; Chordata; Mammalia; Primates; Hominidae. The record is from RNAcentral.
GUGGGGCAGAGGGCAGCCUGAGCAUCUGCAAACAGAGUGGCUCACAGAGAGGACACCUGCCCUGAGGACACCUGCAGGAGAUCCCUACAGAGGAAGGGCUAGACCAGGCUCCAUCCAGCAAACAGGCAGGACAGCGAUGUCUUCCUGCAUGACAGAAGGGGAAACUGAGGCCCAGAGUGAUGCAGCCCGGGACCUCCCAGGACAAGGUCCAAGCUCUUACCUCAGAUACAAACUCAUCUGGAAGCAUUAAAACAAUGGAAGCAGGUGAGAGCAGAGAGAUCCCGAGCGCAGGUGAGGUGGGGUCCCUGAGGCGGGCUCAAAAGCUGCUUCCCAAGGCAGGGGGGCCCCUAUGUGCCCUCUGAGAGCACAGCCUGCAGACAGAGUCCAGACGUCUCAGGCAGGCCUUUGAGGCCUUCGUGUCAAAGCCCAGUUCUACCACAUCCUAGGGUUAUACUUUCGGCCUGGUGGGAGUCGCUGGUCCCCAGUUGACAGUGUCAUUGGGAAAGUCCAGUGGUAGACCCCGGCACAGCAGGCGCUCAGCAGUGCAGCAGUAUCAUUGCUUAGCCCCACCUCCCUUUCCAGACUCUGCACCCCUCCUCAGGCUCAGAGCAAGGGCCUGCCCCUGCCCCUCCACCGCCCCCUCCUCACUUACCCCUGCGACUCUGCCCAAGCAAGACCUCCCCCUGGAAUUCAUUCAUUUAUCAACUCAUUAUGCAGCCAGCCAGCCAUCGUUUCUUUUUUAUCCACUUUUUCUGAGGGCCUGCUGUGCGCCAGCUGCUGGAGACAUGAAGACAUCGAAGACCCCAGGCCUUGACCUCCAAGAGCCCCCAGUUUGGUGGAAGAAACAAACAAGGAGACUGCAAAACACACCCUGUGAUGGGGAGGGUUGAGGUGGCCAGUGGGAGAGGCGAGCUGGCAGGGCUCAGUGGUGAGGUGAAGGUGUGGGAGCAGGGACACAGCAUGAAGGAGUAGAUGGCCAGGUUGAGCUUUGCAGGCUCCAGGGGGAGGAUAAAGAGCUGACACCUGGAACGUGCUUGGAACAGCAGGUGCUCGGUCAGUGCAGCCACGACCAUCCCGUCCUGCAUCCCCACCAUGAACUUGGACCUUCUGGAAGGACCUUGCUUAUCCCAGCAUCCACACAUCCUUGACCAGACCUGGUCAACAUUUGCUUAGAACCGCCUGGCUGCUGGGAUGAGAAGAGACUGGAGAGAGACCACGAUGGAAGCCAGGAGGCCAACGAGGAGUUGGGGUAGUCCUCCAGGGAGACAUGAUGUGGCUUCAGCCCCAGUGGUGAUGGCGGGGUAGAGCCAGCAGGGUUCUGAACUGAGUGGAUGUGAAAUGAGGGAAAGAGGGAUGCUGCGGUCGGCAGAAUCGUGCCUCCCGCAAAGAUGCCCCAUCCUAACCCGUCACCCUUGACAGUGAGACCUCCACCACAAAGGGGACUUUGCAGGCAUGAAGGUUAAGGACCCUGAGAGGAGGAGAUGGCCCUGGACUGUCUGGCGGGCCCAGCAUCAUCACAAGGGUGCUUAUAAGUGGAGGAGGAGGCAGGGGGAGCCGAGCAGAUGUGAGGAUAGAAGCAGAGGUCGGAGGGACGUGCUGUUGGCUUGAGAUGGAGGAGGACCUAUGAGCCAAGGAGCAUGGGCGGCCUCUGGAAGCCAGAAAGGGCAAGGCCUCUUCCCGGAGCCUCCAGCAGAACCCAGCCCCGCUGCCACCUCGACUGCAGAACGGUGACACCGUGUCCGAUUCCCGACCUCCAGAACCGUGAGAUAACACGUGUGCUGUUUUAAGCCACUGCAAUUGUGGUAUUUGUCACAGCAGCCAUAGGAAACUGUACGGGGGUUAAAGAGGACCUGCUGACCUCUGAGCUCACACUGAAGCCUCCUGGAAUGCUGUGGGUUGUGAGCUGGGAUGAGAACGCAGCAUGGAGAUGAAAGACGCAUCCACCCAGGAAGGCCCACUGGCAUCGCAAUCUCAGGGAAGAUUCCCAGGCUGAAAAAAGAGAAAGUGGCUGGGGUGGCACUGAAUGCCCCACGUCAAAGAAAUGGCACCCAAGCCGUCCGUCAGUCCCUCACCUGCCACACAGACAGCACCUUGGACCCAGCAAGAUGUCACUCACCACAUUGAUGCUGUCCACAGGCAUCGCCUUGCUUUUGCAGCUCUGUGUGAGAUUUGUCAGCUUGGUUUGGGUCUGGGGCUGUAUUAGAGCUGUCAGCCUAGGAGCCUACCCUAGUUUUGUGUCUGCACUAUUUCCAAAGCACUGGAAUAAAAGGCAUUUUAACCAA